RNAcentral lists this ribosomal RNA (464 nucleotides) under Vreelandella stevensii. Its description in RNAcentral is "partial 16S ribosomal RNA". It matches the Rfam family "Bacterial small subunit ribosomal RNA", at positions 338 to 795 of the family's 1533-position model. Lineage: Bacteria; Pseudomonadati; Pseudomonadota; Gammaproteobacteria; Oceanospirillales; Halomonadaceae. The record is from RNAcentral.
UCUAGGGCGGCAGCAGUGGGGAAUAUUGGACAAUGGGCGAAAGCCUGAUCCAGCCAUGCCGCGUGUGUGAAGAAGGCCUUCGGGUUGUAAAGCACUUUCAGUGGGGAAGAAAGCCUUGGGGCUAAUACCCUCGAGGAAGUACAUCACCCACAGAAGAAGCACCGGCUAACUCCGUUCCAGCAGCCGCGGUAAUACGGAGGGUGCGAGCGUUAAUCGGAAUUACUGGGCGUAAAGCGCGCGUAGGCGGUCUGAUAAGCCGGUUGUGAAAGCCCCGGGCUCAACCUGGGAACGGCAUCCGGAACUGUCAGGCUAGAGUGCAGGAGAGGAAGGUAGAAUUCCCGGUGUAGCGGUGAAAUGCGUAGAGAUCGGGAGGAAUACCAGUGGCGAAGGCGGCCUUCUGGACUGACACUGACGCUGAGGUGCGAAAGCGUGGGUAGCAAACAGGAUUAGAUACCCCAGUAGUC